This 581-nucleotide ribosomal RNA is filed under the name uncultured bacterium. Its description in RNAcentral is "partial 16S ribosomal RNA". It matches the Rfam family "Bacterial small subunit ribosomal RNA", at positions 355 to 932 of the family's 1533-position model. The record is from RNAcentral.
UGGGGAAUUUUGGACAAUGGGCGAAAGCCUGAUCCAGCAAUGCCGCGUGUGUGAAGAAGGCCUUCGGGUUGUAAAGCACUUUUGUCCGGAAAGAAAUCCUCCGGGUUAAUACCUCGGGGGGAUGACGGUACCGGAAGAAUAAGCACCGGCUAACUACGUGCCAGCAGCCGCGGUAAUACGUAGGGUGCAAGCGUUAAUCGGAAUUACUGGGCGUAAAGCGUGCGCAGGCGGUUUUGUAAGACGGAUGUGAAAUCCCCGGGCUUAACCUGGGAACUGCAUUCGUGACUGCAAGGCUAGAGUAUGGCAGAGGGGGGUAGAAUUCCACGUGUGANCAGUGAAAUGCGUAGAGAUGUGGAGGAAUACCGAUGGCGAAGGCAGCCCCCUGGGCCAAUACUGACGCUCAUGCACGAAAGCGUGGGGAGCAAACAGGAUUAGAUACCCUGGUAGUCCACGCCCUAAACGAUGUCAACUAGUUGUUGGGGGAUUCAUUUCCUUAGUAACGUAGCUAACGCGUGAAGUUGACCGCCUGGGGAGUACGGUCGCAAGAUUAAAACUCAAAGGAAUUGACGGGGUCAUAGCUG